Molecule: ribosomal RNA, 744 nt
Filed under: uncultured bacterium
Lineage: Bacteria
Description: bacterial SSU rRNA
Rfam family: Bacterial small subunit ribosomal RNA
Source: RNAcentral
UGCAAGUCGAACGGCAGCACGGGGUAACCUGGUGGCGAGUGGCGAACGGGUGAGUAAUAUAUCGGAACGUGUCCGGAAGUGGGGGAUAACGUAGCGAAAGUUACGCUAAUACCGCAUAUGCCCUGAGGGGGAAAGGGGGGGAUCGCAAGACCUCUCGCUUUCGGAGUGGCCGAUAUCGGAUUAGCUAGUUGGUGGGGUAAAGGCCCACCAAGGCGACGACCCGUAGCUGGUCUGAGAGGACGACCAGCCACACUGGAACUGAGACACGGUCCAGACUCCUACGGGAGGCAGCAGUGGGGAAUUUUGGACAAUGGGCGAAAGCCUGAUCCAGCCAUACCGCGUGAGUGAAGAAGGCCUUCGGGUUGUAAAGCUCUUUCAGCCGGAAAGAAAUCUUGCCCCUUAAUACUGGGUAAGGAUGACGGUACCGGAAGAAGAAGCACCGGCUAACUACGUGCCAGCAGCCGCGGUAAUACGUAGGGUGCGAGCGUUAAUCGGAAUUACUGGGCGUAAAGCGUGCGCAGGCGGUUUUGUAAGACAGACGUGAAAUCCCCGGGCUUAACCUGGGAACUGCGUUUGUGACUGCAAGACUAGAGUGUAGCAGAGGGGGGUAGAAUUCCACGUGUAGCAGUGAAAUGCGUAGAGAUGUGGAGGAAUACCGAUGGCGAAGGCAGCCCCCUGGGCUAACACUGGCGCUCAUGCACGAAGGCGUGGGGAGCAAACAGGAUUAGAUACCCUGGUAGUCCA